RNAcentral lists this ribosomal RNA (999 nucleotides) under uncultured bacterium. Its description in RNAcentral is "bacterial SSU rRNA". It matches the Rfam family "Bacterial small subunit ribosomal RNA", at positions 356 to 1376 of the family's 1533-position model. The record is from RNAcentral.
GGGGAAUAUUGCACAAUGGGGGAAACCCUGAUGCAGCGAUGCCGCGUGGAGGAAGAAGGUUUUCGGAUUGUAAACUCCUGUUGAAGAGGACGAUAAUGACGGUACUCUUUUAGAAAGCUCCGGCUAACUACGUGCCAGCAGCCGCGGUAAUACGUAGGGAGCGAGCGUUGUCCGGAAUUACUGGGUGUAAAGGGAGCGUAGGCGGGAUGGCAAGUCAGAUGUGAAAACUAUGGGCUCAACCCAUAGACUGCAUUUGAAACUGUUGUUCUUGAGUGAGGUAGAGGUAAGCGGAAUUCCUGGUGUAGCGGUGAAAUGCGUAGAGAUCAGGAGGAACAUCGGUGGCGAAGGCGGCUUACUGGGCCUUUACUGACGCUGAGGCUCGAAAGCGUGGGGAGCAAACAGGAUUAGAUACCCUGGUAGUCCACACUGUAAACGAUGAUAGCUAGGUGUGGGGGGUCUGACCCCUUCCGUGCCGGAGUUAACGCAAUAAGCUAUCCACCUGGGGAGUACGACCGCAAGGUUGAAACUCAAAGGAAUUGACGGGGGCCCGCACAAGCAGUGGAUUAUGUGGUUUAAUUCGAAGCAACGCGAAGAACCUUACCAGGUCUUGACAUCCGACUAACGAGAUAGAGAUAUGUCAGGUGCCCUUCGGGGAAAGUCGAGACAGGUGGUGCAUGGUUGUCGUCAGCUCGUGUCGUGAGAUGUUGGGUUAAGUCCCGCAACGAGCGCAACCCCUGCCAUUAGUUGCUACGCAAGAGCACUCUAAUGGGACCGCUACCGACAAGGUGGAGGAAGGUGGGGACGACGUCAAAUCAUCAUGCCCCUUAUGACCUGGGCUACACACGUAAUACAAUGGCCGUUAACAGAGGGAAGCAAAGCGGUGACGCAGAGCAAAACCCUAAAAACGGUCCCAGUUCGGACUGUAGGCUGCAACCCGCCUACACGAAGUUGGAAUUGCUAGUAAUCGCGGAUCAGCAUGCCGCGGUGAAUACGUUCCCG